Molecule: small nucleolar RNA, 129 nt
Filed under: Dryobates pubescens (Downy woodpecker)
Lineage: Eukaryota; Metazoa; Chordata; Aves; Piciformes; Picidae
Description: Picoides pubescens (downy woodpecker) Small nucleolar RNA SNORA24
Rfam family: Small nucleolar RNA SNORA24
About the family: ACA24 is a member of the H/ACA class of snoRNA that guide the sites of modification of uridines to pseudouridines.
Source: Rfam by way of RNAcentral
AUCCAUGACUCCAUGGGAGCUGCCCUGUGGCCGUCUCCCUUCCUAGGCAUGGAAGAACAGUUCCUUGCUAAUUGGCAAAACUUCUACCCUCCUGUGGGUAUUAGUCGUUGACUGUAGCAAGUAACACGC